UUUCACUCUUUUUGGUGGGGUUAGAUUGAUUAUUUGGUGGAGUUAGUUGCGUUGGUUAAGUUGGUUAUUUGGUGGUGUUGAUUGCAUUGGAUAGGUUUGCUAUUUAGUGGGGUUGGUUUGGUUUUUACUAAUUUACAUUUGUUUAGCGUUGGUUAGUCUCUGGGGUAAGUUGACAUUUUUAUUUUCGGAGCCGGCAUCUGUGCUUCCGAAUUGUGGAACCCGGCGCCGGCAGCGGAGUCACUUCCUAUAUAUAUAUACUUACAGGGUGGUCUGGGUCACAAUUUCUUUCUUCAUAGUCUAAAUACAUUUGUAAAACAUAAAUAAGAGAUAAAAUUUGUUGACACACCCGACCUCCGUUUUCCGUUUAUUAUAGGCGCUCUGUGCUCUCAGCUCCAUUGGAACGAACUAUAAUUAUUAUAAUUAUCCCUAAAUUUCAUCUCCCAAAAAGGGCAAAAGUCGGUACAAACAUUCCGUAAAAAUUGGUUCUGGGAGUUUAAUAUUUUGCACAAAGGUAAAUUCAUCCCCUAGAGAGGUGAAAUUAGUGGUGGAAAUUUAUAUUUAAAUUUGUAAAAAUCUCGUCCUAAGAAUAUACAAUAAUUUUAUUAUUAAUAAUUUCAAAAGGUUUCUUAAGUAACGCAAUGACUAUAUGAGGGGCGACUAUGAAAAUUCAUCCCCGAGGAGGGUAAAAUUAGGGCUGAACAAUUAUAAAGCAAAACAUAAAAUAAAAACCUGUUCAUUCAAAACAUUACACAAUAAAGGUUUCUCUAGGGAUUCAAUAAAAAAAUUCAUCCCUUAAAAUAAGGGAAAAAUGAUUGCAAAUAUUCGUUAAUAUUUGGUAUAAAAGUAUGAUAUUUCGGUGUAGCAUACUUACGAAGCGUUUUCUCGAAACUCAUUUCCUAAAGGGGUAAAAUUAAGGGCAAAAUUUUAUGAAAAUUCGUUACUACUAUGUGGUUUAGAAGUACAUAAUAUUUAUGAAUUAAAAUUUGGCCAAAUAUGCUUAAGUAUAAUUGGGAAGCAAUAGUAUAGAGUAGAAGAAACGAUUUUUGAAAAUUCAUCAUCUCGGGGAUGAUAGGGGUGAAAGUUGGCAUGAAAAUUUAUUACUACCUGGCAUAGAAGUAUAAUAUUUUUACAAAGUAUAUGUAGUUAAUAAGUCGAUUAUUUGAUCGAACUGUAUGUGUAUUUAAAUUCACUUUUUUCGUAUUAGAAAAUCUAGGUAUUUUCGGAAAAAACACCCACAGUUUUUGAUAUAAUUUAGUCCUAGAAAAUCUAAAAAAUGUAUCUUCUUCAGUUUAUAGUGAAAUGUUUUCUCAUCCAUUGAAAGCACACUUUUUUAAAAGCAUUUUAAAUAAAAUCAAAACAAGAAACUUAAACUGAAUAGCUGAAUUAACUAAAACAAUACUAAGAACACCGUGAACUAACUAAAUGUAAACCAACAAAACCCAACAGAAAAUUAAAAUCGGAAACAGCUAAUAAUAAUGAUGUAUGUAAUAUCCAUGUGAAACAACUGAAGAAACUGACUUAAAAAUCCUCUGAAAACCUUCAAUAUUCCCAUCUUAGAUUCCCAUAUCCUUUUUCUAGGACACUGUUGCCAAUUCUACUUACCAAUUUGUAUAAACUAUAUCGGUAUCACGGCACAUGCAAACAAUAUGCCGUGUCUGUAUCAUAAAAGUACCUAUUUGCUAUAUAAAAGAUCAGCUGCUAAAUUUUAAAUCAAUUUAAAAUAUCAAAUAAAAUUAUAGUAGUGCAUAAAACUAUUAACAAGCAGGAUAUAAAAAUAAUUAAAGAUAAUUUAAGCUGGCUAAUAGUAGAUAGACUUUAGAUUAAUAUUUGAAAUUAACAGCUGGAAGUACAGCUAAAUACAAACGGCAAGCUGACAACAAAGAUCCUAUUCUUUAAGAAUUGUAUAUUUCUGAUAUUUUAUAUAAUUUUUAAUUUUAAAGAAAUCGUCAUUUUCUUUAUACAUAUGUAUUGAUCUUAACCGAUUGUUAAAAUUUGUAAAUUUCUCAUACUUUACAAAUAAAUAUUAGCUGAUAUUUCCUAACAUCAUGUAAUAGUUAUUUAUUAUUAUCCAGGAGAAAGCGCUAAUACAAGUACAUAUAACAUUUAAUUCUCACAUAAAAAAAGUUCAAGCUGGCAAUCUCGCUUUGACUUUAUAAUCGUGCGGCGGCUGCGACGGC
This 2177-nucleotide long non-coding RNA is filed under the name Sitophilus oryzae (rice weevil). Its description in RNAcentral is "uncharacterized LOC115886532". Lineage: Eukaryota; Metazoa; Arthropoda; Insecta; Coleoptera; Curculionidae. The record is from RNAcentral.